RNAcentral lists this ribosomal RNA (737 nucleotides) under uncultured bacterium. RNAcentral describes it as "bacterial SSU rRNA". It matches the Rfam family "Bacterial small subunit ribosomal RNA", at positions 126 to 879 of the family's 1533-position model. The record is from RNAcentral.
CUGCCCUAGAGUGGGGGACAACAGUUGGAAACGACUGCUAAUACCGCAUAAGCCCACGGUGCCGCAUGACACUGAGGGAAAAGGAUUUAUUCGCUUUAGGAUGGACUCGCGUCCAAUUAGCUAGUUGGUGAGGUAACGGCCCACCAAGGCGACGAUUGGUAGCCGGACUGAGAGGUUGAACGGCCACAUUGGGACUGAGACACGGCCCAGACUCCUACGGGAGGCAGCAGUGGGGGAUAUUGCACAAUGGGGGAAACCCUGAUGCAGCGACGCCGCGUGGAGGAAGAAGGUUUUCGGAUUGUAAACUCCUGUCGUUAGGGACGAUAAUGACGGUACCUAACAAGAAAGCACCGGCUAACUACGUGCCAGCAGCCGCGGUAAAACGUAGGGUGCAAGCGUUGUCCGGAAUUACUGGGUGUAAAGGGAGCGCAGGCGGGAAGACAAGUUGGAAGUGAAAACCAUGGGCUCAACCCAUGAAUUGCUUUCAAAACUGUUUUUCUUGAGUAGUGCAGAGGUAGAUGGAAUUCCCGGUGUAGCGGUGGAAUGCGUAGAUAUCGGGAGGAACACCAGUGGCGAAGGCGGUCUACUGGGCACCAACUGACGCUGAGGCUCGAAAGCAUGGGUAGCAAACAGGAUUAGAUACCCUGGUAGUCCAUGCCGUAAACGAUGAUUACUAGGUGUUGGGGGAUUGACCCCCUCAGUGCCGCAGUUAACACAAUAAGUAAUCCACCUGGGGA